UACGGAGGGGGCUAGCGUUAUUCGGAAUUAUUGGGCGUAAAGGGCGUGUAGGCGGCUUCGUAAGUCUCGUGUGAAAGCCCUCGGCUCAACCGAGGAAUUGCACGAGAAACUGCGUGGCUCGAGUCCGGGAGAGGAUAGUGGAAUUCCCAGUGUAGCGGUGAAAUGCGUAGAUAUUGGGAGGAACACCGGUGGCGAAGGCGGCUAUCUGGACCGGUACUGACGCUGAGACGCGAAAGCCAGGGGAGCAAACGGGAUUAGAUACCCCGGUAGUCCUGGCUGUAAACGAUGAGAACUUGGUGUGGCGGGUAUCGACCCCUGCCGUGCCGAAGCUAACGCAUUAAGUUCUCCGCCUGGGGAGUACGGUCGCAAGACUGAA
Molecule: ribosomal RNA, 376 nt
Filed under: uncultured bacterium
Lineage: Bacteria
Description: bacterial SSU rRNA
Rfam family: Bacterial small subunit ribosomal RNA
Source: RNAcentral